GGUUAAAAAGCUCGUAGUUGGAUUUCUGCUGAGGACGACCGGUCCGCCCUCUGGGUGAGUAUCUGGCUCGGCCUUGGCAUCUUCUUGGGGAACGUAACUGCACUUGACUGUGUGGUGCGGUAUCCAGGACUUUUACUUUGAGGAAAUUAGAGUGUUUCAAGCAGGCGCACGCCUUGAAUACAUUAGCAUGGAAUAAUAAGAUAGGACCUUGGUUCUAUUUUGUUGGUUUCUAGAGCUGAGGUAAUGAUUAAUAGGGAUAGUUGGGGGCAUUCGUAUUUAACUGUCAGAGGUGAAAUUCUUGGAUUUGUUAAAGACGGACUACUGC
RNAcentral lists this ribosomal RNA (325 nucleotides) under uncultured marine eukaryote. RNAcentral's name for it is "SSU rRNA". It matches the Rfam family "Eukaryotic small subunit ribosomal RNA", at positions 617 to 946 of the family's 1831-position model. The record is from RNAcentral.